AGUGGGGAGGGACGCACACUCUGUAAACAGGAAUAGGUACAACACCGGUCACUGAGCUGGCAAGCUAAAGUUAGCUAGUUAGUCACAUAAAUGUACGUUCAGCCUGUUAAUUAUUUCAGUCAGAUUUUACGAAGUCAGCAUGGCUUAACAUAGUUUCUUUCGUUUUUGACCUAGACAUUUUUGCUGGAUAGAUACUGUCAUAGCUAACAUGCUGGCGAGAGCAGCAUACUGGUGGUGUCUUACAGAGGAGUGCCCGUUUUGAUUGAAGAUGAGUGUGACGUAGACCCCAGAAGUCUGCAGACUACAGGGGCCCUCCAUUCCCAACCCUGAAGCCCACUGUCCCCAGCAGGAAAGACCAGGAAAAUGUGUUGGCUUAACUUCCUAUGGAGGAAAUAUCUGCCAACCUGCUCGGUGGGUGACAAGUAACUGUCUUUCCACCAAGCUGUUCACUUCCUGGAGUGACACGCUGGAACUUCCAGAGGCUUGUAGACCUGAAGCAGUGUGAUGUGGGCCAGCUCAACCACAGUCUUCACAGCUGUAGUCGUCUGCCCCUGCAUCUGUUACCCCGGCCACGACAGGUGAUACAGAUCUGCCACCCCCCAGUUCAGCUGCAGUCACAGCAGUCCUCUGCUGUGGUAUUUAAUUUACCGGCUGCGCCAGUUCCUACUACACUGGCCGUGAAGGGAGAAACUUUUGAGGAUUCCUAGAUGGAUGCAGGAGACAGAAUAAUGCUGGAGUCCAAAGGCGGCAAACCCGGGAGAAGCAAGCUGAUAACUAUGAGGGUUUGCCUCAUCGCUGACCCUACCAUCCGGCAGCUGAACAGGAUAGUAUCUUUAGAGUAUCCUGUCUGGCAGAUCAAAGUGCCCUAUGGUCAGGAGGAGAGCAGCUUUUUUGGGGGAAAACAUUCCCCCAGAUGAAUACAAAUUUAGAGGCCUUUAAGACAGGAGGAUGCUCGUUCCCCUACAAAAAAAGGAUUGUUGUCAAGACAAUGGAGGACAGAGAUUGUGUGUUUGAAUUGGUGGCUCAACAAUUUGUCCAAGGUGGUCUUGGAGCAGUUGAAAUAUGGUCUCAACUCUCUUGGGCUGCUCGAGGCAUUGGGGAACCAUCCGGACAGCUUCCGAGCACUCCAUAAAGCCUCCCACUGCCAGGGACCUGUGGGACCUGCUUAAAGUAACCUAUUCCAUACCUGGCGGCAACCGGCCAUGUUUGGAGAACGACACCAUCUGCCACAGGUUCAACUGGCUGGCUGAGGUGCAAGGUAAAAUAGUAAAUUGUUCCAGUUUAUCGGUAACUGUAUAUUAUUCAAUUUUGUGAUUGAAAUGUUUUGCUGUGUACUCAGAUGGAGAAUGUCCUCCUCUAACAGUGGCGAUGGUGUUGGAGUUUGCUACUGGAGCAACGGUGAGGACACCCCGACCAUCGAAUUCCUCCACACAGCGCGAGGGCGUCUCGCCAGGCAGCAAAAUAAAAAGUACCCAAAGGCAAACACGUGUGCUGUGACACUAAGGCUCCCUCUUCAUAGCACCUACAAUGCCUUUAGGGAAUUCAUGACCUCCGGUAUUGUGAAUUCCCCACAUUUUGGUGUUGCAUAAAAACAUUUUUACGAUACAAUUGUAUCUUGUAGCACUAAACUACAGUAGCAAUUGAGUGUUUGGAAAUGUAACUGCACAGCAUUUAUCUACUUACAUCUGUAUUGUUUGUACAGUGCAUUCGGAAUGUAUUCAGACCCCUUGACUUUUUCCACAUUUCAUUAUGCUACAGCCUUAUUCAGAAAUGGAUACAAUCAUUUUUUACCCUCAUCAAUCUACACACAAUACCCCAUAAUGACAAAGCAAAAACAGGUUGACAUUUUUGCAAAUGUAUAAAAAAAGGAAAUAUGACAUGUAUUACCCUUUACUCAGUACUUUGCUGAAGCACCUUUGUCAGCGAUUACACCAUAGGCUUUUCUUGGGUAUGUCACUACAUUUUUUAUUAUUUAAUAGAUUUUAGAAUAAGGCUCUAAUGUAGCAACAAAAGGUGGAAAAAGUCAAGGGGUCUGAAUACUUUCCAAAUACACUGAAUUUCCAUAUUGGCUAUUUAUUUUACUCUUUACUGACACUUCACUAAUAACCAAUAUGCUUUGCUGAUAUUGACUGAAGUACUGCUGCCAUAUUGCAGCCAACUCAUCCAAAUCUGAUCAUUUGUUCUUAAUGUAGGACAUCAAAUUAACUUCAGCCAGUAUCAUUGAAUUAGAACGACAUGAAAUACGGCUUCCCAUCCACUGCAUUAAGUGACAGCUCCACUUCUGGGAACUGCACCUUAGUAGUGAAAUUUCAAAUGCAUUGAUCUAAGAACUAGAUCAAUUAGUCCUAGGCUCUCCAACCCUGUUCCUGUAGAGCUACCCUCCUGUAGGUUUACAUCAGGGCUCUCCAACCCUGUUCCUGGAGAGCUACCCUCCUGUAGGUUUUCAAUCCAACCUCAGUUGUAACUGACCUCAUUAACUUAUUAAGCAGGUAAUUAUUAAAAUUAGGACUAGAUUAGGAUUGGAGUGAACCUACAAGACAGUAGCUCCCCAGGAACAAGGUUGAGAGCCCUGCAUUAGUCCAUCUUCAGCCACAUCAUUUGAGCUAUGUGUCAACAAUGUUAUGUUACUAACUGUAAUAAGUUGCUGUUAAUCACAAUGAUAUAAAAUGUAACGGGGGCCGAACCACCAAAUCCCUA
This is a long non-coding RNA of Oncorhynchus kisutch (coho salmon), 2697 nucleotides long. RefSeq lists it as uncharacterized. Lineage: Eukaryota; Metazoa; Chordata; Actinopteri; Salmoniformes; Salmonidae. The record is from RefSeq and is a predicted model, not a curated record. The transcript has 9 exons.